RNAcentral lists this ribosomal RNA (775 nucleotides) under uncultured Neocallimastigales. RNAcentral describes it as "partial large subunit ribosomal RNA". It matches the Rfam family "Eukaryotic large subunit ribosomal RNA", at positions 24 to 616 of the family's 3401-position model. The record is from RNAcentral. Lineage: Eukaryota; Fungi; Neocallimastigomycota; Neocallimastigomycetes; Neocallimastigales.
UAUGUGAUCGUCUCUCGCAUAUCAAUAAGCGGAGGAAAAGAAACUAACAAGGAUUCCCCUAGUAACGGCGAGUGAAGCGGGAAGAGCUCAAAUUUGAAAUCUUAAAGGGUUUCCCUUUACGAAUUGUAGUUUAAAGAAGUGUUUUCUGUUGAGGUUUUGGUAAAAGUUCUUUGGAAUAGGACAUCAUAGAGGGUGAGAAUCCCGUAUUUGACCUUUACUUUCAACUUUGUGAUACACUUUCAAAGAGUCGGAUUGUUUGGGAAUGCAGUCCAAAAUGGGUGGUAAAUUUCAUCUAAAGCUAAAUAUUGGCGAGAGACCGAUAGCGAACAAGUACCGUGAGGGAAAGAUGAAAAGAACUUUGAAAAGAGAGUUAAACAGUACGUGAAAUUGUCAAAAGGGAAGCGUUUGACACCAGUGUUGUUUUUCUGAAAACCAAUUAAAGAACUGUUUAUGCUAAGUUGUUUAGACUUUAUCAGCUAACUGUUUAGUUUUGAGCUUUUCUUUAAUGCACUUUUCAGUUAACAAGUCAACAUCAAUUUCUUUUGCUGUAAAAAAGCUUGAGGAAGGUGGCUUGAGAUUCCGUCUUAAGUGUUUAUAGCCUCUUGCCUAUGCAGUCGGAGAGAUUGAGGUCUGUAGCGUAGAUCCUUCGGGGCUAAAUGCAUUUGUGCUAAGUUAUAGCAUUUUAUAGACAACUUGUUGACUAUGAUUUGUCUUGUAGCUUACUCGCUUAUGUUAUUUUACCUACGCUUAGGAUGUUGAGCGCAUGUCUCUCUCU